UGAAUCACCACUGUGCCUGUAUCAUACCGCC
This 31-nucleotide non-coding RNA is filed under the name Rattus norvegicus (Norway rat). The record is from RNAcentral. Lineage: Eukaryota; Metazoa; Chordata; Mammalia; Rodentia; Muridae.